Molecule: ribosomal RNA, 254 nt
Filed under: uncultured bacterium
Lineage: Bacteria
Description: partial 16S ribosomal RNA
Rfam family: Bacterial small subunit ribosomal RNA
Source: RNAcentral
UACGUAGGGGGCAAGCGUUGUCCGGAUUUAUUGGGCGUAAAGAGCGUGUAGGCGGUUUGGUAGGUCCGCUGUGAAAACUCGAGGCUCAACCUCGAGACGCCGGUGGAAACCAUCAGGCUAGAGUCCGGAAGAGGAGAGUGGAAUUCCUGGUGUAGCGGUGAAAUGCGCAGAUAUCAGGAAGAACACCCCGUGGCUAAGGCGGCUCUCUAGUACGGUACUGACGCUGAGACGCGAAAGCGUGGGGAGCGAACAGG